AACGAACGCUGGCGGCGGGCCUCAUACAUGCAAGUCGAGCGCGAAAGUCCGCAAGGAUGAGUAAAGCGGCGCACGGGUGAGUAACACGUGGGUAAUCUACCUUUUGGAUUGGAAUAACCUGUCGAAAGACGGGCUAAUGCCGAGUAAGCCUUCUUGAACGUGAAGUUCGAGACGGGAAAGAUGGCGCAAGCUAUCGCCGAAAGAUGAGCCUGCGUCCCAUUAGUUAGUUGGUGGGGUAAUGGCUUACCAAGACAAUGAUGGGUACCUGGUUUGAGAGAAUGAUCAGGCACACUGGACUGAAACACGGUCCAGACUCCUACGGGAGGCAGCAGUAGGGAAUAAUUGCGCAAUGGACGAAAGUCUGACGCAGCCACGCCGCGUGAGUGAGGAAGGCCUCGGUUGUAAGACUCUGUC
RNAcentral lists this ribosomal RNA (414 nucleotides) under uncultured bacterium. RNAcentral's name for it is "bacterial SSU rRNA". It matches the Rfam family "Bacterial small subunit ribosomal RNA", at positions 29 to 437 of the family's 1533-position model. The record is from RNAcentral.